UACGUAGGGGGCAGGCGUUGUCCGGAUUCAUUGGGCGUAAAGCGCGUGUAGGCGGCCAGGUAGGUCUGGUGUGAAAACUCGAGGCUCAACCUCGAGAGGUCAUCGGAAACCAUCUGGCUAGAGUCCGGAAGAGGAGAGUGGAAUUCCCGGUGUAGCGGUGAAAUGCGCAGAUAUCGGGAAGAACACCUAUGGCGAAGGCAGCUCUCUGGGACGGUACUGACGCUGAGACGCGAAAGCGUGGGGAGCGAACAGG
This 253-nucleotide ribosomal RNA is filed under the name uncultured bacterium. RNAcentral describes it as "partial 16S ribosomal RNA". It matches the Rfam family "Bacterial small subunit ribosomal RNA", at positions 524 to 776 of the family's 1533-position model. The record is from RNAcentral.